RNAcentral lists this ribosomal RNA (274 nucleotides) under uncultured bacterium. RNAcentral's name for it is "partial 16S ribosomal RNA". It matches the Rfam family "Bacterial small subunit ribosomal RNA", at positions 523 to 796 of the family's 1533-position model. The record is from RNAcentral.
AUACGAAAGGGGCAAGCGUUGUUCGGAUUUACUGGGCGUAAAGAGAUCGUAGGUGGUUUAUCAAGUCGGAUGUGAAAUCCCGGGGCUCAACCCCGGAACUGCAUUCGAUACUGGUAGACUUGAGUUCGGGAGGGGGAUGCGGAAUUCCGCGUGUAGCAGUGAAAUGCGUAGAUAUGCGGAGGAACACCAGAGGCGAAGGCGGCAUCCUGGACCGAUACUGACACUGAGGAUCGAAAGCGUGGGUAGCAAACAGGAUUAGAUACCCCAGUAGUCC